This 799-nucleotide ribosomal RNA is filed under the name Limosilactobacillus vaginalis. Its description in RNAcentral is "bacterial SSU rRNA". It matches the Rfam family "Bacterial small subunit ribosomal RNA", at positions 31 to 818 of the family's 1533-position model. The record is from RNAcentral. Lineage: Bacteria; Bacillati; Bacillota; Bacilli; Lactobacillales; Lactobacillaceae.
GAGCGCACUGGCCCAACUGAUAUGACGUGCUUGCACUGAAUUGACGUUGGAUUACCAGAUGAGCGGCGGACGGGUGAGUAACACGUGGGCAACCUGCCCUGGAGCGGGGGAUAACAUCUGGAAACAGGUGCUAAUACCGCAUAACAACGAAAACCACAUGGUUUUCGUUUCAAAGAUGGUUUCGGCUAUCACUUCAAGAUGGGCCCGCGGUGCAUUAGCUAGUUGGUAAGGUAACGGCUUACCAAGGCAAUGAUGCAUAGCCGAGUUGAGAGACUGAUCGGCCACAAUGGAACUGAGACACGGUCCAUACUCCUACGGGAGGCAGCAGUAGGGAAUCUUCCACAAUGGGCGCAAGCCUGAUGGAGCAACACCGCGUGAGUGAAGAAGGGUUUCGGCUCGUAAAGCUCUGUUGUUGGAGAAGAACGUGCGUGAGAGUAACUGUUCACGCAGUGACGGUAUCCAACCAGAAAGUCACGGCUAACUACGUGCCAGCAGCCGCGGUAAUACGUAGGUGGCAAGCGUUAUCCGGAUUUAUUGGGCGUAAAGCGAGCGCAGGCGGUUGCUUAGGUCUGAUGUGAAAGCCUUCGGCUUAACCGAAGAAGGGCAUCGGAAACCGGGCGACUUGAGUGCAGAAGAGGACAGUGGAACUCCAUGUGUAGCGGUGGAAUGCGUAGAUAUAUGGAAGAACACCAGUGGCGAAGGCGGCUGUCUGGUCUGCAACUGACGCUGAGGCUCGAAAGCAUGGGUAGCGAACAGGAUUAGAUACCCUGGUAGUCCAUGCCGUAAACGAUGAGUGCUA